RNAcentral lists this ribosomal RNA (425 nucleotides) under uncultured bacterium. RNAcentral's name for it is "bacterial SSU rRNA". It matches the Rfam family "Bacterial small subunit ribosomal RNA", at positions 354 to 796 of the family's 1533-position model. The record is from RNAcentral.
GUGGGGAAUAUUGGACAAUGGGCGCAAGCCUGAUCCAGCAAUGCCGCGUGGAUGAAGAAGGUUUUCGGAUUGUAAAGUCCUUUCGGCGGGGACGAUGAUGACGGUACCCGCAGAAGAAGCCCCGGCUAACUUCGUGCCAGCAGCCGCGGUAAUACGAAGGGGGCUAGCGUUGCUCGGAAUGACUGGGCGUAAAGGGCGCGUAGGCGGAAUGCUUUGUCGGGCGUGAAAUUCCAGGGCUUAACCUUGGGGCUGCGUUCGAGACGGGUAUUCUAGAGUGGAGAAGAGGGUCGUGGAAUUCCCAGUGUAGAGGUGAAAUUCGUAGAUAUUGGGAAGAACACCGGUGGCGAAGGCGGCGACCUGGUCUUUUACUGACGCUGAGGCGCGAAAGCGUGGGGAGCAAACAGGAUUAGAUACCCGUGUAGUCC